CACGAACGGGCAGCGAGUACUCAGACAAAUUCCCAAAGUGUAACUGAGUUUGUAUAAGUUGAAGCAUGGAGGGCAACCGCACUGACCUGCAGCCACCACCAGGCUACCCAACGAUUGUGGACUCAGUGCCAAGCUGCGACGACUCGCCACGCCGAGGACGAACAAGACCACGCGGCCGGAAAACUAGUUUUCUCGAUGCAUGUGUUGCCGCACUGUGCUGCUGCUGGCUGUGCGACCUGUGCUGCGUUUAAUUGGAUCGGAGGGCAACGAAACAAGCUCUUUUUGUACGAGCUUAUCCAGAUCAUCCACAUGAUGUUGCGUCAUCUAAAGAGAACGAUGAUUAGUUAUACCGCAAGUUGAUUUGUACUGCAUACUUAUACUACU
Lolium rigidum is the source of this 384-nucleotide long non-coding RNA. RefSeq lists it as uncharacterized. Lineage: Eukaryota; Viridiplantae; Streptophyta; Magnoliopsida; Poales; Poaceae. The record is from RefSeq and is a predicted model, not a curated record. The transcript is spliced from 3 exons.